UACGUAGGGGGCUAGCGUUGUCCGGAAUCAUUGGGCGUAAAGAGCUCGUAGGCGGUUUGUCGCGUCGAAUGUGAAAACCCGGGGCUCAACUCCGGGCUUGCAUUCGAUACGGGCAGGCUAGAGUUCGGUAGGGGAGUCUGGAAUUCCUGGUGUAGCGGUGAAAUGCGCAGAUAUCAGGAGGAACACCGGUGGCGAAGGCGGGACUCUGGGCCGAUACUGACGCUGAGGAGCGAAAGCGUGGGGAGCGAACAGG
RNAcentral lists this ribosomal RNA (253 nucleotides) under uncultured bacterium. RNAcentral describes it as "partial 16S ribosomal RNA". It matches the Rfam family "Bacterial small subunit ribosomal RNA", at positions 524 to 776 of the family's 1533-position model. The record is from RNAcentral.